RNAcentral lists this long non-coding RNA (550 nucleotides) under Homo sapiens (human). Its description in RNAcentral is "novel transcript". Lineage: Eukaryota; Metazoa; Chordata; Mammalia; Primates; Hominidae. The record is from RNAcentral.
AUUAAAGGAGGAUCUGGUAGGUGCAAAGCUUUCUGCUAACACCUUCAGCACUUUGCAUUCUUUAUUUUCUCAUUUAUCUCUUGGCAUUUUGUUGUUGCCCGUAUCCCCACGACCCACGAAUCCAGAGAGUCUCGCUCUGUUGCCAGGCUGGAGUACAGUGACGCAACCUCAGCUCACUGCAACCUCUGCCUCCUGGGUUCAAGCAAUUCUCCUGCUUCGGGAAGGAAGGAAGGAAGGAAGGAAGGAAGGAAGGAAGGAAGGAAGGAAAAGAAAGAAAAGAAAGAAAGAAAGAAAGAAAGAAAGAAAGAAAGGAAAGAGAGAAAGAGAGAGAGGGAAGGAAGAGAGAGAAGGAAGGAAGGGAGGGAGAGAGAGAGACAGGAAGGAAGGAAGGAAGGAAAAGAAAAGAGAAAGAGAAAGAAAGAAAAGAAAGAAAGAAAGAAAGAAAGAAAGAAAGAAAGAAAGAAAGAAAGAAAGAAAGAUUGAUUGAUUUUAAGGAAUUGGAUCACACAGUUGUGGAGGCCAGCAGAUCCAAAGUCUGCAGAGUCCAGAG